AUUGAACGCUGGCGGCAUGCCUUACACAUGCAAGUCGAACGGUAGAGUAGCAAUACUUGAGAGUGGCGAACGGGUGAGUAAUAUAUCGGAACGUGCCCAGUCGUGGGGGAUAACGUAGAGAAAUUUACGCUAAUACCGCAUACGAUCUAAGGAUGAAAGCGGGGGAUUCGCAAGAACCUCGCGCGAUUGGAGCGGCUGAUAUCAGAUUAGGUUGUUGGUGAGGUAAAAGCUCACCAAGCCGACGAUCUGUAGCUGGUUUGAGAGAACGACCAGCCACACUGGGACUGAGACACGGCCCAGACUCCUACGGGAGGCAGCAGUGGGGAAUUUUGGACAAUGGGCGAAAGCCUGAUCCAGCAAUGCCGCGUGCAGGAAGAAGGCCU
This 383-nucleotide ribosomal RNA is filed under the name uncultured bacterium. RNAcentral's name for it is "bacterial SSU rRNA". It matches the Rfam family "Bacterial small subunit ribosomal RNA", at positions 30 to 417 of the family's 1533-position model. The record is from RNAcentral.